AUACGGAGGGUGCGAGCGUUAUUCGGAAUUACUGGGCGUAAAGCGCGUGCAGGCGGCCUGUCAAGUCUGAUGUGAAAGCCCUGGGCUUAACCCGGGAAGUGCAUUGGAUACUGAUAGGCUUGAGUACUGGAGAGGAUGGGGGAAUUCCCGGUGUAGAGGUGAAAUUCGUAGAGAUCGGGAGGAAUACCAGUGGCGAAGGCGCCCAUCUGGACGGCUACUGACGCUGAGACGCGAAAGCGUGGGGAGC
RNAcentral lists this ribosomal RNA (247 nucleotides) under uncultured bacterium. Its description in RNAcentral is "partial 16S ribosomal RNA". It matches the Rfam family "Bacterial small subunit ribosomal RNA", at positions 523 to 769 of the family's 1533-position model. The record is from RNAcentral.